This 402-nucleotide ribosomal RNA is filed under the name Verrucomicrobiota bacterium. RNAcentral describes it as "Verrucomicrobia bacterium partial 16S ribosomal RNA". It matches the Rfam family "Bacterial small subunit ribosomal RNA", at positions 355 to 776 of the family's 1533-position model. The record is from RNAcentral. Lineage: Bacteria; Pseudomonadati; Verrucomicrobiota.
UGGGGAAUUUUGCACAAUGGGGGAAACCCUGAUGCAGCGACGCCGCGUGAUUUAGAAGGCCUUCGGGUUGUAAAAAUCUUUUGUAUGGGAAGAAAAUGACAGUACCAUACGAAUAAGGACCGGCUAAUUACGUGCCAGCAGCCGCGGUAAUACGUAAGGUCCGAGCGUUGUCCGGAAUCAUUGGGCGUAAAGGGUACGUAGGCGGAUAAGCAAGUUAGAAGUGAAAUCCUAUAGCUCAACUAUAGUAAGCUUUUAAAACUGCUCAUCUUGAGGUAUGGAAGGGAAAGUGGAAUUCCUAGUGUAGCGGUAAAAUGCGCAGAUAUUAGGAGGAAUACCGGUGGCGAAGGCGACUUUCUGGCCAUAUACUGACGCUGAGGUACGAAAGCGUGGGUAGCAAACAGG